Long non-coding RNA from Syngnathus typhle (broad-nosed pipefish), 3423 nucleotides. RefSeq lists it as uncharacterized. The transcript is spliced from 4 exons. The record is from RefSeq and is a predicted model, not a curated record. Lineage: Eukaryota; Metazoa; Chordata; Actinopteri; Syngnathiformes; Syngnathidae.
AUUUUCUUGCGUGCAACGUGUCUCCUCGGACAAUGAGAUCAUCCAUUCAGCUUCAAAUAUGAGGAAACGGCUCAUUGUCACGCUAAUCCCAAAGCCAUGAGCCCCGCACACAUACGCACGUCUCAACUGCUCCAUUAAGCGGCGUGCCGCAAGCGUCGACAGAUAACUUCUUACUGGGGAUAAUCCUGAAGCUCAGUGGAGGCGAGAUCCGUAUCACUUUUGAAAGUAGGCCAAAAGUCUACUUUGCAGCUCUGGGAAGUCGCUAUGAGGAAAACAAGAGGAGGAAUGAAAAGUAAUGUCACAAACGUGAGGACAGAAGUGAAGGCGUGAACAGGAUGGAACUGGACCCGUGCAGCUUGUGGGGUCCGUCCAGUGCAGGAGGCACCUGGCAUCAUUCAUUCAGCACCAAAUUCUCCUUCUCAUGCUUCUGUAUCACUCGUCUGUGCAGGUGAUGGACCUCCCAGAAUUCCCAGACAAAGAUGGCUGACUCAUAAUAAGAAAGAAAAUGCGAGCUGGGAGAGCUUCGGUGGAAGCACAUAACUACAAUUUGUGUGCUAUAGUCUCCUUCGGGAAGAUUACACGUGCGGUAAGUAUGCUCUUAUGUGAAGAAUUGUAAAACAGUAAAUUCCUCUAAUUAAUCCUUGUGCUCAGACGUUCGCACGCUAAGCACCUGACCAAAGAGGUGAUUGCGAAAUAGUUUGCGUUUCUCCAAAAAUGAAAGUAUAUGUAUGAGGUCUCGCUAAACACGUGCUGGUCUGUGUGGAGCCAAUUUACAUAAUAGCUUGGUUUUCUCCACCCACGACUUGGAGGCGAGGCAAAAUUCCAGGUAACUUUUAAAAGACAACAAAUCCAUGAUUGUGUAGUCUUUAAUGGUUUAAAAGGAAGUCAGUCACGUGAGGAGCUGGCACGUUGAGCCUGCUCAUGCGACAUUUUUGACUCCCCAGAUCAUUGCUUGUUUAGGAUCAGCACUCCCAUGUGUGUGUGUACGUCGCUGCUCGGUGUCAGGGCAAGACCAGAGAGGCACCACCUGGAAGUACUUCUCCACAGGUUAAAGGUCAAUGCCUUUGGACCUGACUGACAACGUCUGUAGGCCCAACAAAGUGUAAUCAGAGAAAAGUUUGAGAAGAAAACAUAACAGCCAUGUUUUUAUCCAAAUUUAUUUAUUUACAGCUGUGUUUUUAUUCAAGUUUAUUUAUUCAUUCUUUAUUUUUUCAAGAGUUUUUUUUAGAUAUGUUUCUUGAAUUGAUUUAUUCUAUUUAAAAAAAAAAAAAUCCCCUUUUUUAACCAGACGUAUUUCCAGGAAUCUUUUCCAAUUCCCUGACUUGAUUCUCAAACACACCUGAUAAACUCACCAAUGUCAAUGCGUCGAUUCUGGAAAGAGGUCACCAUGCUUUUUCAACCUUCCAAGCAAAAUCAAAAAGACCCAAGGAUCGACGUGUCUUUAAGAACGUAAGUCCAGAUUGAAGCAAGGUCAGUCAAGCAGCAUGGCAGCUAUUUAGUCUAUUCAUCCACGGCUCCUCAUAACAUCCAACGGGGGGCUCUCGGGCUUCACGUCUCCGCUUAUCAAGGCAUGCCAGACAUUCUCUCCACGCGUGUUUGUGUGCGAUUGAAUACGGCGUACGUUGCCGUGCGUGGAAAUGUUUACGCGUGCAUGCUCGGACCUGAGCGCAGACGUGAGCGUAAACAUGUGAAUUCACCUCCUUAAAAUUCCAAACACUUGUCGUGGCCACAAAAGCAAAACAACGGGAUGGUUUCCUGUUUUGUUCUCGGGGGCCCUUUUGAAAGUGGAGACUCCCCCUCUUUCCAGCAUCCACCUCCUUCCCUCAUUCUUCAGCUUCCCAGGUAAUCAUUAAGUACUUUUCCAUCUUAGAUUACAGCAGCUUUUGGGUCUUAUCUUGUUUUCAAUGAGCAACUUUUGGCAAAUUCCAACAACAUGCUUCCUGUUGUUCACUUUCCAAAGGACAAGUGGUGCUGAAACGGUUGAAGCAUGAAAAAAAAAUGAUAAAAAUGAUCUUGUUUUUUCUUGUGAUUGUUUUUCUUCUAAGAUGAUGCUUGCUUUGUCACGGUUCCCAACCACUCCCGUUAACCCCAAAACAAAUAUGCUCGGUGAAAACGUGACCGUUUUUUUUUUUUUUUUAGGAACGUCCCCAGUAAAUAAACCAAGGAGACGGCAUUAUUGCAACAGCUGAUUGUUCCCCGAGUCAAAACAACACACGCUCACGCCACUGUGGAAUGGCACUGUAAUAACAAACAAUUCUUAUUUUUUGCCAUGAGUGCUUAGACAAUUGGAAUUGCCAGGCAAGGAGUGCGGAAAUAACAGGAACCGUACAGUGGCCCCUGCAGCACACGAGAUAAGAACACGUCUCAAUGUGGAACCAAAGUUGCCUCAUAAAAGUACCGGUCAUGAAUAAACCUAAUAAUAUUCGACUAAUGUCAACUCACACGUAGAGUGGAGCCUCGAGGAUCAACACAGGAUGUUCAUAUUUCAUGUAAUUGUCGCUUUUUUUUUUUUUGAAGGUCAGGUCACAUACCGCGCAUGCCAUGAUCAUUUGACGGAGAUUUCUAGAAGUCAUGAUGAACAGCAAAAUGUCUUUUGUCAGUCUUCACACUGCUUGUAUGUCAUGGAAAAUAUAUGACAACAACUCCUGGAAUGCCGGCUCAUGGUAAAUCCUUUGCUGUGAACGCCCCUACACACACAUACACACACACACGAACGAAAAGGACAUUCGAACGUAAAGGAAAAUGUGCUCAAAUUAGAAUAAAGGCUUGGAAAAUAUGAGUGACAAAAAAAAUCAUUAUCUCUGUCAAAUGUUCAUUAUGUUGUCUUGUUAAAAAAGCGUCUUGUUGUUGGCAAAAUGAAUUCUCUCAAGCAUGCAUCGACUUGCACUCUCAAUUGUUUUAAAUCCUGAUAACAGCUCUUGCGCAAUAGGCCGAAUACUGAUUAAAAGCGCUGAGAAAAACAAAUAAAAACGUAUAUACAACAAGAUACAUCUUGCAAACGCUAAAAGCAGAAUUCAGAUGUCAAUCAUCAUUUUUCUGUGAUUUAUUUAUUGCAGUUUAAAAAAGUUAUGUAACUAGAUUACACUGUGUGUGGCCAUUUCAAAUUCAAAUCGAAAGCUAGGAAAUCGGGUUUUGAAUCUCUGCUACUGAAUGUUACUUGAAUUAUUUAAAUUUAUAUCGCAGUAUACAAUGACCAACACGGCACAAACAGGUUUUUUAAAAUCCUUAAGACCCAUAAAAUCACUCUGCCGUGUCAUUUGAGGGAAUUCAAUCUCUGUGAACUUUGAUGCCCUGAGGACUUUGGUUUAUGAGCCAAAGCAACAUUCCCACCACACCUCACGAGAAGUUCCCCAGCAAUCACAACAACAAACCUGUUCCGUGGAAGUGACUCCAACGAGUAGAAUUAUGUCUGAAUUGAAAAUA